Molecule: ribosomal RNA, 433 nt
Filed under: uncultured bacterium
Lineage: Bacteria
Description: partial 16S ribosomal RNA
Rfam family: Bacterial small subunit ribosomal RNA
Source: RNAcentral
AACGAACGCUGGCGGCAUGCCUAACACAUGCAAGUCGAACGAGACCUUCGGGUCUAGUGGCGCACGGGUGCGUAACGCGUGGGAACCUGCCCUUAGGUUCGGAAUAACUCCCCGAAAGGGGUGCUAAUACCGGAUAAUGUCUUCGGACCAAAGAUUUAUCGCUUUUGGAUGGGCCCGCGUGGGAUUAGCUAGUUGGUAGGGUAAAAGCCUACCAAGGCGACGAUCCAUAGCUGGUCUGAGAGGAUGGUCAGCCACACUGGGACUGGGACACGGCCCAGACUCCUACGGGAGGCAGCAGUGGGGAAUAUUGGACAAUGGGCGAAAGGCUGAACGAGCAAUGCCGCGUGAGUGAUGAAGGCCUUAGGGUUGUAAAGCUCUUUUACACGGGAGGAUAAUGACAGUACCGGGAGAAUAAGCGCCGGCUAACUCCGUG